GUCAGCACCCCGCUCUGAAGAUACGGGGCUUCAUGCCUCUCCUUUGGAUAGCUGACCAGCUAUAGCCUUAACUGGCUACGUUAUUGGGAAGCGUUAAAGUUCUUACCUUGGGAUGCGAAGCUAGUCCCAAGCUCUAAAACUCGGGCAUUUAAACAGUUUUACGAGGGGUNGUGGGGGGAGAAAAUAAUCCCGUUACGGGUUUUUAGGGCAAUUAAAGCUUUAAAAAUUGC
Molecule: non-coding RNA, 230 nt
Organism: Planktothrix serta PCC 8927
Lineage: Bacteria; Bacillati; Cyanobacteriota; Cyanophyceae; Oscillatoriales; Microcoleaceae
Source: Rfam